Molecule: ribosomal RNA, 200 nt
Filed under: uncultured bacterium
Lineage: Bacteria
Description: partial 16S ribosomal RNA
Rfam family: Bacterial small subunit ribosomal RNA
Source: RNAcentral
GAUGAACGCUAGCGGCAGGCUUAAUACAUGCAAGUCGGAGGGGGAUUAACUGGGUAGCAAUACUCGGUUAUGAGACCGGCAAACGGGUGCGGAACACGUACGCAACCUUCCCAAAACUGGUGAAUAGCCCUCCGAAAGGAGGAUUAAUACACCGUAACUUAAUGAAGUGGCAUCACUUUAUUAAUAUAGCUCCGGCGGUU